AACGAACGCUGGCGGCAUGCCUAACACAUGCAAGUCGAACGAGACCUUCGGGUCUAGUGGCGCACGGGUGCGUAACGCGUGGGAACCUGCCCUUAGGUUCGGAAUAACUCCCCGAAAGGGGUGCUAAUACCGGAUAAUGUCUUCGGACCUAAGAUUUAUCGCCUUUGGAUGGGCCCGCGUUGGAUUAGCUAGUUGGUAGGGUAAAAGCCUACCAAGGCGACGAUCCAUAGCUGGUCUGAGAGGAUGAUCAGCCACACUGGGACUGAGACACGGCCCAGACUCCUACGGGAGGCAGCAGUGGGGAAUAUUGGACAAUGGGCGAAAGCCUGAUCCAACAAUGCCGCGUGAGUGAUGAAGGCCUUAGGGUUGUAAAGCUCUUUUACCCGGGAUGAUAAUGACAGUACCGGGAGAAUAAGCUCCGGCUAACUCCGUG
This 433-nucleotide ribosomal RNA is filed under the name uncultured bacterium. Its description in RNAcentral is "partial 16S ribosomal RNA". It matches the Rfam family "Bacterial small subunit ribosomal RNA", at positions 29 to 507 of the family's 1533-position model. The record is from RNAcentral.